GAGGGUAUAGCUUAAGCAGUAGAGUACCUGCUUAGCAUGCAGGAAGUCCUAGGUUCAAUCCUCAGUACCUCCU
Camelus ferus (Wild Bactrian camel) is the source of this 73-nucleotide transfer RNA. It matches the Rfam family "tRNA". From Rfam's summary of the family: Transfer RNA (tRNA) molecules are approximately 80 nucleotides in length. Their secondary structure includes four short double-helical elements and three loops (D, anti-codon, and T loops). Further hydrogen bonds mediate the characteristic L-shaped molecular structure. tRNAs have two regions of fundamental functional importance: the anti-codon, which is responsible for specific mRNA codon recognition, and the 3' end, to which the tRNAs corresponding amino acid is attached (by aminoacyl-tRNA synthetases). tRNAs cope with the degeneracy of the genetic code in two manners: having more than one tRNA (with a specific anti-codon) for a particular amino acid; and 'wobble' base-pairing, i.e. permitting non-standard base-pairing at the 3rd anti-codon position. NCBI's taxonomy places the organism in Eukaryota, Metazoa, Chordata, Mammalia, Artiodactyla, Camelidae. The record is from Rfam.